This 3000-nucleotide long non-coding RNA is filed under the name Gallus gallus (chicken). Lineage: Eukaryota; Metazoa; Chordata; Aves; Galliformes; Phasianidae. The record is from RNAcentral.
AGAAUAGUAGGCUCAAUUAAAAUAGUGCUUAUAAGUAAGAAAACAUAUGAGAUGGAGAGGCUGGGGCACUAAUUUGUUCUUACUGAAGAAGUAAAUGCUUUUUGUUCCACCUAGUCAUUUGGAAGUAAUGGUUCACACUUUCAGAGCUGAACUUAGAGUCAUCGUAAAUCUUUGCACUUCAGAAACACAUAUUUAUGGUUUUGUUUUAUUUUUAUUCCUAGCUCUGCCAUUCUCUUACUCUGAGGUUUCAAACAAGCCAUACUUCCUGCCAAAAUAUCUAUAUAAAGCUACACUGCUGUAUGGCAAACAGGUAUAGGACCAGAGAGAUUAUCACGUUACAAAGAAGUAAUGAAAUAAAGAUCUUACCUGUGUCCUGGGCUUAGGAGAAGGGCUCCAAGAGGAGUGAUCUCCAGAUAGAGAUCCUUCCUCCUUGGGAGUCAGCCCUUAAAUGGGGUCUAGGAGUCAAUUCUGGUCACUCAGGUGAAAUUGCAUUCACCUGUGCCCAUGCAGCUGACUCAGCACUCUCCUCAGGUGGUCAAUCAGAGGUUCAGGCUAUGAUUCAACAGUUCCCAUACAACUGCCAAUAAUUAUUUUAAUAUAAAUGCAUUUAAUUUUACAAAUUUAUCUUUAAAGAAGCCCAAAUAAGAUUUUACUGUUGUUAAUGUAGCUUUCACAUAUUUAAGAUGUAUCUGACUGUGUUUUAGCUAACAGUGUCACAUUGAUUUGGUAUUUAUGUUCUUCUGAGAAUGUUGUUACCUAAGACGUGAUUUUAAACUAAGCAUUUGAAUGGUAUUCUUGUAUCAUUUAACUUAGUUAAACAUAAAAUAAAGUCACAUGUGCCAGACCAAUUUUUUAUUUUACAAGUCAAACUUAUUACACCAACUUGCUGAAUAAAACCAGCAGUUUUACUUUACUGUAAAUUGUUCCAGUUAACUCUAGUGAGAUACACUGAGAUCUAAGACUUGAGACUAUCUAUUCCUAAAGUAAUUGUAAUAAUGCUUUGUUGAAUGGAACUACUCUUUUAUAUUUCCUCCUGAGAAGUGAAUAUUUGAAGUGCUUCUUGAGCACUACAUUUUCUUCACAGUGCUCCUUCUUAUUGUAUCAAACUGUCACGAGAGUACCGUGGAUGUUUUCCUGGUCCAUUGAAGUAACUAUUCUUAAAUCUUAUCGAGACAACUCGUUAAGCUCAGUUGGUAAACAACUGUGGCUGCUGUAUAAAAUCAGUAUCUGUUUUUUCAAUGGAGCAAUAGCCAGGUACUAGUCUCAUGUAACCUGAAAUUACAUGACAGCUAAGAGAGGUCAAUGGGCCUGUGUUUAAAUCUUUCAGUGCAAUCAGAAUUCAACUCAAAAUUUAAACAGCCCACCAACGUGAUAUAUUGCAGAUGGACAACAUGGUCCAGUUUGUAAGCACUUGAAAGCCUCUGCAAGCAUUUGGCUGAAACUUGCUAAAGUAACAGAUAAAAUCUCUGCAAACAUUCCUACUGAGCAUACUCAGCUACUGCCAUACAAUUCCCUCACAGGGGUGCUAUGGAGGUACUAACAAGCAUGCCACCACAUCUAGCAAACAGCAUUGCUCAUUGAAAUCCCCAGGGAAAAAGUGAAUGUGCUUUAACUUGGAGCAUCCACACAGAAAAAAGCAUCUCAGGUCUGAACAAAGAAUGAACAAAGUCUUGCAGAAGACAGAGUGAGAAAAAGGUGGAAAAACUGGAUAUUGGUUGCUUGGGAAAAGCCCUCUAAAAUCAGAUAGAAAUGAGUGGAAAAUUAGUUCUCAGUCCCAGAGAAAAAAGUCAGUGUGAAGAAGAGCCUUAUAGCAGAUUUCAAUUCAUAUUGUAGUUUCACAUAACAGAUUGUGUUAUCAGGUGUUAAGUACCAGGAACUGAGGCACUUGUUGGUCAGUGCUUCUGCCAGCAAGCUAGUUGCUUCCUGGGAAGUGGAAUAAUAGCAUCUCAGCACAUCUUGAAGGCACAAUAAAAUCAUUAAUAAGAAUAAAUACCCCACAGAAGUAGCAAAGAAUAUAGAAGCUCAAUGAAGCUAAUUGUUCUGUACUUUCUUGACGAAACUUCAGAUGUGUACUUCAGAUAAAAUAAUGGCCCACAUCUCUCAAAGUAGAUAAAAUGAUUAUACUGUAGUACUUCAUCUUAGUACUAGUACUUCAUCUAGACUUAAUUAUGCCGUAUGCUGAGUUAAGCGGGGACUCUGGGAAAAGUGUCAGAUUGUUACUGUAUCAUAGCCCAUGGACAGACAUGGCUCAAAUUGCUAUCAACAACCAAAAUUAAAUCUGUCACUUCAGGUGAGCAAGCAAGUAUCGAUCGUUUAAAUUGUCUUUAGGUCAAAGUAGAUACUCAUCAUGAUAGAAAGAUACUGCACAUGUAUGUAACGGUACAAUGGAAAGUGCAGUAAAAAGCAGGAUAGCAAAGUCCUAGAUCACAACAUGGAAUUAACCCAAAUGCAGCAGCCACAGACACACAAAGGAAAAAAAAGCUACCUACUUCAAAAAGCCUCUGGUACAGAGGAAUCUCCAGCAAAACACCCUUACUACCCCCCCACCAACCCUUAACUGAGGUCUGGGAAGGGGUGGAUCCUGGUUCCACCCCUUCUGGUCACUCAGGCACAUUGCUUGCACCUGAGCUCCCCUGGGUUGGCCUUGUCUUCCACCAGGUACUCAAUCACUGCUUCAAGCCAUGACUUACCAUUUCCACUACAGUGUAUUUAAGCUGUUGAUGGCUCACAAUAGGGAUAGAAAAGUAGAGUAAGUUUUUGUGUUGUGGUAAUUGUUCUUUUCCUUAGUGGCUGCUGCCACCAGGUGGCUAGUUUAUGUAUUUGGUUGUAAGCCAUAAAUACCAUUUUUCUUUUAUCUCUGGCUAGUAAGUAUUUUUGUAUAGGUAUGUCUUCUGGUUUUUUUCCUUGUUUUUUUUUUUUUUUUUUUUUUUCCCCAAUGUGUGAUGCACAGCAUUUAAAAAUAAGAAAAAAAUAGAAGGAUGUGAUUAGCAGAUAAAAAUU